GUACUAAUUACAUUAAUAAUAAUUGACAUCAGUGAGCUUUGGAUCAACCUCUGACGGAAUACAUUUACAUCUCGUUAGUUCCCCUGAUGGAGUUAUGCUUCUGCUUCUUCUACAGACACAGGGGGACUGCAGGAGGAUCUGCCUGUCCAGCCACAGUGGGUCCUCUGGCCUGGAUGUGGGGAGCGAUGCGAUGCCAGGAGCUCCUUUGAGCUGGCUGGAGGAGAGCUCAGUUUCCAGUGGAUCUGUGCCGUGAUGCUGACAGAUUUUGCUGUCUACAAGGUGAAUACUGCAGACUCACCACGGUGCUCACCUGUUGAAAACUGCCAACCAUUGAUCACACUUCCAGCCACUUUCCCCUUCUACCAAAAACCUUUGGACCAUUUGGCUGAUUGCAGCCAAGCUGGGAAGAGGAAUGGAAUUCAUGGAGGCAGCUUCCAGGUUCAUCAGAACAGGUCCCUCUGCAGAUGAGAUGCCAGAGAUCCCAUGGAGGCGAGGAGGACCAAGUGUCUUUCUAGAUGCAUGUUGAAAUAGAGGACAAGUUCUGAACAGAGAAGCAUUUUUCAGUACGCCUGUGCAGAGCCCAGUGAAACACACUUCUGAUAUCAGGUGACUGCUGUAAGUAACAGCUAUAUAGACCGCUGGCUCAAUCCGUUCUCAUACAACAGGAAUUUUCCUGCUUUGCCUUUUUUUAAUCAGUAAUUCAAAAAGAUACUUCCCUGGAAUUGCUGUAAUCACUGAAAAUGACUGAUCUGUCCUCAUCAGUAUUUCUUUUCCUCCUCUUUUCUGAACGCUUCUCCCUGUAGUGCUGGUAAUGCUCGUCUGUAUGCAGCUUUCCUUACAUUUUGGCAGGCAUGGGGGAUUUCAGCAGCAGUAAAUUUGAAUGGAUAGAAUUAAGAAGGAAGACAGCUUGCUGGAACACAGAGCAAGGCUUUUUUGGGUAUUUUUUUUCUUUUUCUUUUGUUUUUCCUAGAUAUAUCAUCUAUGAAUUCUCACCUGGGACUGCUUUUACAUAGAAAAAAAAUCAUGUGCCUAAAUGUCUAUCGGCU
RNAcentral lists this long non-coding RNA (1046 nucleotides) under Coturnix japonica (Japanese quail). RNAcentral describes it as "lncRNA (ENSCJPG00005011366.1)". Lineage: Eukaryota; Metazoa; Chordata; Aves; Galliformes; Phasianidae. The record is from RNAcentral.